CCUACGGGAGGCAGCAGUGGGGAAUAUUGGACAAUGGGCGAAAGCCUGAUCCAGCCAUGCCGCGUGUGUGAAGAAGGCCUUCGGGUUGUAAAGCACUUUCGGUGGGGAAGAAAGCCUUGGGGCUAAUACCCUCGAGGAAGGACAUCACCCACAGAAGAAGCACCGGCUAACUCCGUGCCAGCAGCCGCGGUAAUACGGAGGGUGCGAGCGUUAAUCGGAAUUACUGGGCGUAAAGCGCGCGUAGGCGGUCUGAUAAGCCGGUUGUGAAAGCCCCGGGCUCAACCUGGGAACGGCAUCCGGAACUGUCAGGCUAGAGUGCAGGAGAGGAAGGUAGAAUUCCCGGUGUAGCGGUGAAAUGCGUAGAGAUCGGGAGGAAUACCAGUGGCGAAGGCGGCCUUCUGGACUGACACUGACGCUGAGGUGCGAAAGCGUGGGUAGCAAACAGGAUUAGAUACCCUUGUAGUC
Molecule: ribosomal RNA, 465 nt
Filed under: Vreelandella stevensii
Lineage: Bacteria; Pseudomonadati; Pseudomonadota; Gammaproteobacteria; Oceanospirillales; Halomonadaceae
Description: partial 16S ribosomal RNA
Rfam family: Bacterial small subunit ribosomal RNA
Source: RNAcentral